This 371-nucleotide ribosomal RNA is filed under the name uncultured cyanobacterium. RNAcentral describes it as "bacterial SSU rRNA". It matches the Rfam family "Bacterial small subunit ribosomal RNA", at positions 410 to 796 of the family's 1533-position model. The record is from RNAcentral. Lineage: Bacteria; Bacillati; Cyanobacteriota.
GAAGGUUUUUGGAUCGUAAACCCCUUUUGUCAAGGAAGAAGCUCUGACGGUACUUGACGAAUAAGCCUCGGCUAACUCCGUGCCAGCAGCCGCGGUAAUACGGAGGAGGCAAGCGUUAUCCGGAAUGAUUGGGCGUAAAGCGUCUGUAGGUGGCCAGCUAAGUCUGCUGUUAAAGAUCACAGCUCAACUGUGGGAAGNCAGUGGAAACUGGCAAGCUAGAGGUUGGUAGGGGUAAAGGGAAUUCCCGGUGUAGCGGUGAAAUGCGUAGAUAUCGGGAAGAACACCGGUGGCGAAAGCGCUUUACUGGGCCAGACCUGACACUGAAGGACGAAAGCUAGGGGAGCGAAAGGGAUUAGAUACCCCUGUAGUCA